Molecule: non-coding RNA, 97 nt
Organism: Podarcis lilfordi (Lilford's wall lizard)
Lineage: Eukaryota; Metazoa; Chordata; Lepidosauria; Squamata; Lacertidae
Source: the annotation of a GenBank genome assembly
CCUCCAGCUGUUUUGGGACUACAAUUCCCACCAUCCCUGACCAUUGGGUCCUGUUAGCUAGGGAUGAUGGGAGUUGUAGUCCCAAAACAGCUGGAGG